UACCGGCAGCACGAGUGAUGACCGCUNUUUUGGGCUNAAGCGUCCGUAGCCGGCCANGCAAGUCCAUCGGGAAAUUCCGCACGCCUAACGUGCGGGCNUCCGGUGGAAACUGCUUGGCUUGGGACCGGAAGAUCCAGAGGGUACNUCCGGGGUAGGAGUGAAAUCCCGUAAUCCUGGACGGACCACCGGUGGCGAAAGCGCUCUGGAAAGACGGAUCCGACGGUGAGGGACGAAAGCUUGGGUCACGAACCGGAUUAGAUACCCGGGUAGUCCAAGCUGUAAACGAUGUCUGCUAGGUGUGGCACAGGCUACGAGCCUGUGCUGUGCCGUAGGGAAGCCGUGAAGCAGACCGCCUGGGAANACUNUGCAAGAGAUA
This 376-nucleotide ribosomal RNA is filed under the name Halovivax asiaticus. RNAcentral's name for it is "bacterial SSU rRNA". It matches the Rfam family "Archaeal small subunit ribosomal RNA", at positions 474 to 854 of the family's 1478-position model. The record is from RNAcentral. Lineage: Archaea; Methanobacteriati; Methanobacteriota; Halobacteria; Halobacteriales; Natrialbaceae.